RNAcentral lists this ribosomal RNA (261 nucleotides) under uncultured prokaryote. RNAcentral describes it as "partial 16S ribosomal RNA". It matches the Rfam family "Bacterial small subunit ribosomal RNA", at positions 524 to 784 of the family's 1533-position model. The record is from RNAcentral.
UACGUAUGGGGCAAGCGUUAUCCGGAUUUACUGGGUGUAAAGGGAGCGCAGACGGAACUGCAAGUCUGAUGUGAAAGCCCGGGGCUCAACCGCGGGACUGCAUCGGAUACUGUAGAUCUGGAGUGCCGGAGGGGCAAGCGGAAUUCCUGGUGUAGCGGUGAAAUGCGUAGAUAUCAAGAAGAACACCAGUGGCGAAGGCGGCUCUCUGGCCUAGAACUGACGCUGAAGCGCGAAAGCGUGGGUAGCGAACGGGAUUAGAUA